Molecule: long non-coding RNA, 295 nt
Filed under: Panax ginseng (ginseng)
Lineage: Eukaryota; Viridiplantae; Streptophyta; Magnoliopsida; Apiales; Araliaceae
Description: long non-coding RNA (PGIN_LNC000535)
Source: RNAcentral
AAAGAGAAAUUUCAUCAUCAUGGUUAUAAAAAUGUUAUAUAUGAUAAUAAAAACAAUAUGAUCAAAACAUGGAUUUAAUUUCAAGAGUAAGAUUCAUAAAUCAACGAUAAUUUGGUCAGAAAAAGAAACCAAUUUUGUCGUGAAUAGUACCUCGUGAAUAGUAACUCAUGAAUAGUAACUCUUAAAUAGUAACUCAUGAAUAGUAACUCAUGAAUAGUACUCUGUAUUCGUACAUAGUACCGUAUAUGUAAAUAAUGUCAUAUACAUGAAUAGUGUCGUAUACGUGAAUAGUAAC